Notothenia coriiceps (black rockcod) is the source of this 1052-nucleotide long non-coding RNA. RefSeq lists it as uncharacterized. NCBI's taxonomy places the organism in Eukaryota, Metazoa, Chordata, Actinopteri, Perciformes, Nototheniidae. The transcript is spliced from 2 exons. The record is from RefSeq and is a predicted model, not a curated record.
GGGAAGACAUUUUGUUAAGAUAUUUGUUUCCUCUGUCCUUCUUUAGGACGGACGCGUGUUCAUCUGGACGUGUGACGACCCGGCUGGAAACACCUGGACGGCUAAACUCCUCCACAAGUUCAACGAUGUGGUUUGGCACGUCAGCUGGUCCAUCACCGGAAACAUCCUGGCUGUUUCAGGAGGAGACAACAAGGUGACGCUGUGGAAGGAGUCGAUGGACGGGCAGUGGGCCUGCAUCAGUGACGUCAGCAAAGGACAAGGAGCCGUCUCCACCAUCACAGACACACAGCAGAGCGAGCAGUGACACACACACACACACACACAUUUAUAACAUGACCCCUGGCUCUACAAGGACGACCCGAUCUUCAGAGAUGAUUUUAGCGUUAGUAAUUAACACGCCGGACAUUUCAACAGAACCUUGUCCACACUGAUUGAGAUUCUUGUGUAAUGUUUUUGUUUGAUGAUUACAUUUGUCCGGGAUAAAUGUUCCCAAAGUGUAUCAGAGGCGGAGGAAACGUGUAUUGAAUGGUGCAGAAUCUCUGCAAAUGCAAACCUUAUAAUAACGGUGGAGUGUUUCCACAUGUACAUUAAUGCUGGUCCAGAUUGAAAUCCAUCCCUUGAUGCUUUUCCCCCUGAAAACAUUCCUCCUCCUCCAGCGGAGAACAGCAGGAAGCCUCCAUCUGCAACUAUAAAACAUCAUCUCCAUUUUAUUUAAUGCAUUUGUUUCAAAACUAGUUUCCUCAUGUUCUCAGAGUGAGACAAAUCAGAGAAAGAAAUACGUCCUACACUUCAUCCAGUACGUUAAUCAAGUAAAUAGAUAAAUGAUUUAUUGAUAAGUACACAUUGUUUACCACUCAAUACAAGAGGCUCAAUAAAUACAGAGAUGUCUGUGUAAUCAGAACAUGCCUUAUGUUUGGCAACCUGAAUGACUCGCUGCCAACUCAACCGUGAAUUAAGCAUCAACAGUUGAGUGUUUUCUUCCAGUUGUGAGAUCAGAAAACCCUGGAUGUGUUUUUCAUAUUUGAUGUAAUUAAAAAACUAUAAUAUUAAAA